This 413-nucleotide ribosomal RNA is filed under the name uncultured bacterium. RNAcentral describes it as "bacterial SSU rRNA". It matches the Rfam family "Bacterial small subunit ribosomal RNA", at positions 958 to 1393 of the family's 1533-position model. The record is from RNAcentral.
AACGCGAAGAACCUUACCAACCCUUGACAUCCUCAGCUACAUCCAGAGAUGGAUGGUUCACUUCGGUGACUGAGUGACAGGUGCUGCAUGGCUGUCGUCAGCUCGUGUCGUGAGGUGUUCGGUUAAGUCCGGCAACGAGCGCAACCCACAUCCCUAGUUGCCAGCAGGUCAAGCUGGGCACUCUAUGGAAACUGCCCGUGAUAAGCGGGAGGAAGGUGUGGAUGACGUCAAGUCCUCAUGGCCCUUACGGGUUGGGCUACACACGUGCUACAAUGGCAGUGACAAUGGGUUAAUCCCAAAAAACUGUCUCAGUUCGGAUUGUCGUCUGCAACUCGACGGCAUGAAGUCGGAAUCGCUAGUAAUCGCGUAACAGCAUGACGCGGUGAAUACGUUCCCGGGUCUUGUACACACGC